GGCCAUGACUAACCCUGGAGUGUACAUAAUAUAUAAUUAUAAGCAUACUAUAGCAUGGAAAAGAUUGUUAAUAAAAAGAGACAGAGAAACAGUGCAUGAGAAAAGGAGAAACAAAAAGGACAACAAAAAUCAGUACAUGCUGUCUUGUAUGGAGGAUUAAUUGGAGCUUGCACUGGAGGAAGACAACAAUCCUUUUAAAAAACAUAGAAGUGAAUGGAGAUGUUUACAAAAGUGCAUGUAUAAAGAGACUAACUUCUUCAAUAGGGUAUGUCAUAUCUGAGUCAAACUGACUAAGAUCUCCACAUGCUAUGAAUGGCACAACAGAUUUAUUGACUUCUGGUAAACUUGACAAGUUGACUAAAAAUUACAACAAUGAAAUUUAAUGAAUACAA
Long non-coding RNA from Amphimedon queenslandica, 392 nucleotides. RefSeq lists it as uncharacterized. Lineage: Eukaryota; Metazoa; Porifera; Demospongiae; Haplosclerida; Niphatidae. The record is from RefSeq and is a predicted model, not a curated record. The transcript is spliced from 2 exons.